GGCCCCCCAGCACCCCUGCCUGCUGUGUACCUGGUGAUCCCAAUAACAACCUGCAAAACCCCUGAGGGCUCCAGGACUCCUCCUUUACCCGGUCUGCUGGAUCCUAGAAAACCUGCUCAGUGUCCAUUCCUGACCUUACACCUGUUGUGAGAGACUUGGCGGCCCACAGCUUAACUGCUCCGGGUGCACAACCUCACGGCGGCGAAGGUGGGCCACCUACACACACCUGACUGGUUUGAGGCUCUUAAAAGGCUGCUCCCGGGGUUUCGGCGCAACUGCAGGCUUGGCCUAGUCCAAGGAUGGCUUCACUGCUGGCUCGACCCUUCAUCCCGCCGGAAUCCGCCUGUCUCCCCCCAGUCACCGCCGCUGACCUCUCCGCCAGGGCGCAGCCCAUUGCUUGGGUUUCUCUGAACAACCCGGAGAAAGACAUCAUCCAAUUCAAAUGCAGUGCAUUGCAAGAUUUAAGAUUUUGAAAAGGGAAGAUGCAGUUCUAAUUUUUAAUCCAGAAGCAAAAACCAGCAGUCUUCAAGAGGAGCACACUUUUCAUCGUUUCUAGGCAAUUGGGGUAGAAUCUGAAAAACAUCGAAGAGGCUAAGUCUGUGUUUCCAGCAUACAUCCCUCCGAGUAAUCCGCAGAAGAGCCCCUGAGUGAUUUGGGCAGAGAUGACAAGCUGGAAAACAAGACCCAGCGAGAUAAAAAGGCGACGAGAAAUGCUUUUUCAGACACCGUGGCUUCUUGUGGCGGUUGGGGCUUCUGACAGC
Talpa occidentalis (Iberian mole) is the source of this 761-nucleotide long non-coding RNA. RefSeq lists it as uncharacterized. The record is from RefSeq and is a predicted model, not a curated record. The transcript is spliced from 5 exons. NCBI's taxonomy places the organism in Eukaryota, Metazoa, Chordata, Mammalia, Eulipotyphla, Talpidae.